Molecule: long non-coding RNA, 1127 nt
Filed under: Phasianus colchicus (ring-necked pheasant)
Lineage: Eukaryota; Metazoa; Chordata; Aves; Galliformes; Phasianidae
Description: lncRNA (ENSPCLG00000013649.1)
Source: RNAcentral
AUGGCAGAAGAAUGGCAGAACAGCCCCAUGGCAAGACUUGUAGGACUAAAGCACCAUGAAUUUCUACCAAACGCUGUGAGUAUGCUUGCUUCAUCUCAUUUUUUCCACUCUCUGUCAAGACUAGUGGGUAAGAAUCCUCCACAAGGGAAACACUGGGGCAAAAGUACUAAGAGAAUCUGCUGGGAAAAGGUGAAAAGGAGUUGGGUGGUGUUGUCUGUAAGAGUGGAUGUGAUGAUGCCCCAAAUUGCAGGUGUAUUUAGGAUGUUGGCAGCAGUGUUUUCUUUGCGUAACUCUGCUUCAUGGUAUGAGUGGUGAGAGGCAGUCAGAAAGCUCACCUGGCUGUCUGCUCAACAGGGAUCACACUGAACCUCUAUUUCAGUAGCGAAAAAAUGGUGAAUAUAUGAUGUCUGACUGUCUGCUAGCAGUCAGUUUGGGAUUGCAGUUUUUGUGGGAAGAAUGAUGGAACUGAGCAGAUAGCUGGCCUUCUAUUUGUCCCUGAAAAGCAGCUUAUGCUACCAUGGCUUGGAGUCGCAGAAUCAUGGAAUCAUAGAAUGGCCUGGGUUGGAAGGGGCCUCAAGUAUCAUGAAGCUCCAACCCUCACGGCCACCAUCCUCCAAAUUUAGUACUAGACCAGGCUGCCCAGGGCCCCAUCCAACCUGGCCUUGAACACCUCCAGGGAUGGGGCAUCCACAACCUGGAAGGUCUUCUUGGAAGAUCUGGGCGUUCACUUAGGGACUACCUAAGUUCAGUAACUCCUCUGCUAUCCAUAGAAGUACAUGGAAAUUGUGAGUAAAUGAUACUACAGCACAUCAACCAAUAUUAGCACUGCUGCUAAUGCUGAUGGAGGUAAAUGAAUAGAUGUAAGAAAAACUGGGAAGUUAGAAGACACAAAGUUGUCCUGAAACAUUUGCUGAGAGUUUUACUCACGUAAGUGUUUCCAUGUGUUAAAGUGGGACUGUUCAUGCACAUGAAUACAUCUUUGAAGGAUUCACUCUUUAGCAACGUCACCUUUUUCACUUUAGAAGAUUUUAAUGUGACUGUUGUACUUUCUUGAAAAGACAAACAGAUAUUUUACUGUAGUAUUCUUUUCUUCUACAUCUUUUUAGUUGUUUUACAUAAACUGCUUU